CUCUCUCUCUCUCCCUCUCUCUCUCUCUCUCUCUCUCUCCAGCAUAUUUCACAGCUUAAUCGAAUGGCUCCUUCUUCUUCUUCUUCUUCGAUUGUUACUGAUUCACUGGAUCCAUCAACACCUACCGAAACUCUUCACAACGAUCUUCAGCCAUUCUUUGUUCUUCACAAACCUUCAUCCCGAAGAAAAGAUAGCUCAUCAACAGGACAAGGUAAACUGCGAAAAAGAAAUGAGCUGUCUUCACCGCAGAACACAGAAAUAGGAAGGAAGUGUGAACGAAGAAUGUGACUCACCAUUUGUUUAAGCCGCUACAAAUUGAAGCGUUUAACCGUGGUCAAGAAUCGAGUCCACCAUUCAGGAUGUUUUAAGAGAUCUUAAUUCUAGUGUAUUUAAAGAUAUACAACGAUGGAUUCUGGAGUGCUUCAAUGCUGCUAGAUUGAUGGAGAACCUAGUAUCACAAAAGCAACUCGAUCCUUUCCUAUUCUGAGUAAUGCUACUCCUGGUCAACUGUCCACUGCAUUGGUUAUUACCGGAAAUAUAGAAUUUGUCGAUGAUAUAUUGACCUUUGAAGAGCUCGGCCAUUUCUUGAAAUCCCAUGGAUGCCAUGUAGCCAAGCUUUCUUCGGUGGAUUUUUCAAUGAAAAACGGAAUUGCUGGUU
This is a non-coding RNA of Arachis ipaensis, 658 nucleotides long. NCBI's taxonomy places the organism in Eukaryota, Viridiplantae, Streptophyta, Magnoliopsida, Fabales, Fabaceae. The record is from RefSeq and is a predicted model, not a curated record.